Molecule: transfer RNA, 77 nt
Filed under: Pseudomonas syringae
Lineage: Bacteria; Pseudomonadati; Pseudomonadota; Gammaproteobacteria; Pseudomonadales; Pseudomonadaceae
Also listed under: 4 other names
Description: tRNA-Arg
Rfam family: tRNA
About the family: Transfer RNA (tRNA) molecules are approximately 80 nucleotides in length. Their secondary structure includes four short double-helical elements and three loops (D, anti-codon, and T loops).
Source: RNAcentral
GCACCUGUAGCUCAGCUGGAUAGAGUACUGCCCUCCGAAGGCAGGGGUCAUGGGUUCGAAUCCCGUCAGGUGCGCCA